RNAcentral lists this ribosomal RNA (310 nucleotides) under uncultured Comamonadaceae bacterium. RNAcentral describes it as "bacterial SSU rRNA". It matches the Rfam family "Bacterial small subunit ribosomal RNA", at positions 1064 to 1382 of the family's 1533-position model. The record is from RNAcentral. Lineage: Bacteria; Pseudomonadati; Pseudomonadota; Betaproteobacteria; Burkholderiales; Comamonadaceae.
GUCGUGAGAUGUUGGUUAAGUCCCGCAACGAGCGCAACCCUUGUCAUUAGUUGCUACGAAAAGGGCAACUCUAAUGAGACUGCCGGUGACAACCGGAGGAAGUGGGGAUGACGUCAAGUCCUCAUGGCCCUUAUAGGUGGGGCUACACACGUCAUACAAUGGCUGGUACAAAGGGUUGCCAACCCGCAGGGGGAGCCAAUCCCAUAAAGCCAGUCGUAGUCCGGAUCGCAGUCUGCAACUCGACUGCGUGAAGUCGGAAUCGCUAGUAAUCGUGGAUCAGCAUGUCACGGUGAAUACGUUCCCGGGUCUU